RNAcentral lists this ribosomal RNA (468 nucleotides) under uncultured bacterium. RNAcentral describes it as "partial 16S ribosomal RNA". It matches the Rfam family "Bacterial small subunit ribosomal RNA", at positions 28 to 507 of the family's 1533-position model. The record is from RNAcentral.
GACGAACGCUGGCGGCGUGCUUAACACAUGCAAGUCGAACGGAAAGGCCCUGCUUUUGUGGGGUGCUCGAGUGGCGAACGGGUGAGUAACACGUGAGUAACCUGCCCUUGACUUUGGGAUAACUUCAGGAAACUGGGGCUAAUACCGGAUAGGAGCUCCUGCUGCAUGGUGGGGGUUGGAAAGUUUCGGCGGUUGGGGAUGGACUCGCGGCUUAUCAGCUUGUUGGUGGGGUAGUGGCUUACCAAGGCUUUGACGGGUAGCCGGCCUGAGAGGGUGACCGGCCACAUUGGGACGGAGAUACGACCCAGACUCCUACGGGAGGCAGCAGUGGGGAAUAGUGCACAAUGGGCGGAAGCCUGAUGCAGCAACGCCGCGUGCGGGAUGACGGCCUUCGGGUUGUAAACCGCUUUCGCCUGUGACGAAGCGUGAGUGACGGUAAUGGGUAAAGAAGCUCCGGCUAACUACGUG